This 86-nucleotide transfer RNA is filed under the name candidate division BRC1 bacterium ADurb.Bin183. RNAcentral describes it as "tRNA-Tyr". It matches the Rfam family "tRNA". From Rfam's summary of the family: Transfer RNA (tRNA) molecules are approximately 80 nucleotides in length. Their secondary structure includes four short double-helical elements and three loops (D, anti-codon, and T loops). RNAcentral also lists the same sequence under 2 other names. The record is from RNAcentral. Lineage: Bacteria; Candidatus Sumerlaeota.
GGAGGGGUUCCCGAGCGGUCAAUGGGGAAGGGCUGUAAACCCUUUGCGUAAUCGCUUCGGAGGUUCGAAUCCUCCCCCCUCCACCA